RNAcentral lists this ribosomal RNA (253 nucleotides) under uncultured bacterium. RNAcentral's name for it is "partial 16S ribosomal RNA". It matches the Rfam family "Bacterial small subunit ribosomal RNA", at positions 524 to 776 of the family's 1533-position model. The record is from RNAcentral.
UACGUAGGUGGCAAGCGUUGUCCGGAUUUAUUGGGUUUAAAGGGUGCGUAGGCGGUUCAAUAAGUCAGUGGUGAAAUACGGCAGCUCAACUGUCGAGGUGCCAUUGAUACUGUAGAACUUGAGUACAGACGAGGUAGGCGGAAUUGACGGUGUAGCGGUGAAAUGCUUAGAUAUCGUCAAGAACACCGAUAGCGAAGGCAGCUUACUAGACUGUAACUGACGCUGAGGCACGAAAGUGUGGGGAUCAAACAGG